CCUACGGGUGGCAGCAGUGAGGAAUAUUGGUCAAUGGGCGGGAGCCUGAACCAGCCAAGCCGCGUGAGGGAAGAAGGUACAGCGUAUCGUAAACCUCUUUUGUCAGGGAACAAAGGCGGGGACUAGUCCCCGGAUGCGGGUACCUGAAGAAAAAGCAUCGGCUAACUCCGUGCCAGCAGCCGCGGUAAUACGGAGGAUGCGAGCGUUAUCCGGAUUUAUUGGGUUUAAAGGGUGGGCAGGCGGCCUGUUAAGUUAGCGGUAAAAGGCCGGGGCUCAACCCCGGCGAGCCGUUGAAACUGGCGGGCUGGAGUUGGAGAGAAGUACGCGGAAUGCGCGGGGUAGCGGUGAAAUGCUUAGAUAUCGCGCAGAACCCCAAUGGCGAAGGCAGCGUACCGGCUCCACACUGACGCUGAGGCACGAAAGCGUGGGUAUCGAACAGGAUUAGAUAUCCCAGUAGUC
This 459-nucleotide ribosomal RNA is filed under the name uncultured bacterium. Its description in RNAcentral is "partial 16S ribosomal RNA". It matches the Rfam family "Bacterial small subunit ribosomal RNA", at positions 338 to 795 of the family's 1533-position model. The record is from RNAcentral.